AAUAUGCCUUUUGAAAUACCCUUGGGUGUGUUCUUUAAGAAAUAGUAUGCCUUUUUUGGGGUAGUUGGAAUAAGCAGUCUGCUAAAAUAUUUCAAAAUAGAAUAUGGACCCAUCAAAACCAUAUAUUAAAAUUCACACUUCAAAAUCUGAAAUUGACAGGUCUCUUUUACAGCACUGUAACUUCACAAAAUAGUGUAUGUGUCAUGCUCCCUGACAUUUCUGGCCAUAUACUUGCUUCCAGUCUCCACUCCAGCGGUUCCAACACUGGCUGCUGUAGCUCCGCCCUCUUUUAUGACAGGACAGAUGCGUGUGUGCUGACGUUAUGACGUCAUGGCCCGCCAAAACGUCCGGACUCGACCAUUUUGGGGGCGUGGCUACCAAUUUAAAAAGCCAACCUAUAAAAGGCUGGUCCACACCUAGGACUUUGCCUUGUUGUAGUUCUUUUCUUAGUUCCCAAUAGUGCUUUACAUCUGGUUGUUCUAUUUGGUAGUUUAACUUCUUCUAACUGACUACUCUCCAUUCUCCUAAUAUUGACUCUGCUCAUGUACCUCGAAUAUCCUAAUAUCUGGUUUCUUGAUUCGGCUUGUAGAAAUUGUUUUCCUGAUUUCUGACUUCCUGGACCUUGGCUUGUUCUUAACCAUUUUCUGUACUGGAAUAGCUCACAACAGCUUUACGAAAUACAUAUUCCAAAAACCGUGUUAUAUGUGUACAUGCCAAAAUAGAGAAAAAACGCAAUUUUACUCCAAUAUUUAGCAGAGAUUGACAAUGAAAUAAUAAAGUGUCAAAAUAACCUUGGGUAAAUAGCCUUUGAGGUCUACUUUAUAUAAAUAUAUACUUUUGUGUGGCAAUUUUGUUUUCUGUGAUGGGUAUUAAACUUCCAAUACAAACAUACCAACUUCUAAAAUUGUUUCACAUUGAAAUUUUAUUUUAGAACUUGUAGUUUGUGAACUGUAACUUUCAAAAUUAACUUAAAAUCAUACACAUAUUAUGUACUCUGUAAAUGAAGACACAUAAACUAAUUAGAUUUUGAAUUACUUUUUCUAAGCUGGACAUGUUAUGCACUCAUUAUUAUUGCCAAAACUAGUUUUGGUUGGUCCGGCUAGGUAUCCCUGGGGUUGGCCGGGCUCUCACUCUCGGGCUCCCCGUCUCUCCCUCCUCCUUGGAUGACUGCUCCUCUUCCCCUCACCGGGGUGGCUGCUGGAGGCACGAGGGUAAUGGGGCAGAGGGUUUUGCUGGGUGGGGUGCUGUGAUGUCUAGACUUUGGUGAUAUGAUUUAUUUAUACUUUUAUAAAUGUCUUGGUUUGGUUUUGCAUGUUGUAUAUUUAUGUCGUGGGUGCGUAUUUCUUUCACUUGUUAUAUUGUUACGGUAUGUCUCUUGCUGGUUGUCUUUGUGUUGGCGGUUUUUGUGUCUCAGCUGUGUGUCUUUUGCUGUUUCUAGUGACUCUCUGCAUGGUGUGUUUGACUGUUCCAUUUCCGCGUUUAGUUUUACUGUCUGGUGCACCCCUGCUCGCUAGUCUGGUGUUUGCCUAUCCGUUCCCUUAUUUGGCGUUUUCAUCGUUGUGGUUCGCUCUAUUACGCCUCUGGCGUUCUUGCUGGUGUACUCUUGUCACUGGGUCUCUGUCCCUUGUCCUGGUUCACCAGUUGGUUCUGUUCCUUUUUGUCUUAUAUGGGUUGGUCGCGUUUUUGCACUUAUUUUUUGCUAUGUUCCUAUACCCUCCUCUGUUUCCCUCCUCUAUAGUUUAUACCCGGGUUUCACUUAUCUUUGUGACACGCCUUGUCUAACUGUUGUCCUGCCGAGGAGCUCAUCCUUCCUGGCAGUGUUUGCCUUUUUUGCCCCGUGUCCACCAGUGGGGUAGGUCACUUUCCCUUAUUUCGGUCCGCAAUCUGGCCCACCCUGGAGCAUGUGUUCUCGGUCACUGUUCUACAUGGGUCCUCGAUCUGGCCCACGCACAAGCAUACGUUCUCAGUCACUAGUCUAAAUGGAUACACAAUCUGGCCCAUGCAGAGGCAUACACCCUAAGACUCCAGUCGGAUUGGGUCCACAACCCGGCCCACUCAGAGGCAUUCAUUCUCGGACACCAUUCUACAUGGGUCCACGAUCUGGUCCAUGCUGAGGUCACCGGAUAGCGGUACGAUAUUAGCGGAUAGUACUGGUUGUUAGGGAUCUAGGUGCCCACUAUGGUAGGUUUCUGGCCACUAUGCCAUAGUCUAGUGGUUCCGAGAGGCCAACACCCAUCCUCAUACUCUAAGGGCAAUCCAUUGGCCCAACGCAUAGUUAUUCGAUGGCCUCUACCUCCCCUCGGCCAAGUUAUAGAUAGAGCCUCUCACUCCACUUGGCAAUUAGCAGGGCCUGACCUGUCACUCUCAUUAGUUAAAUUCUUUGCCACUUUGCAAUAGCUAGCCUGCUGGUACGUUAUAUGGAUCAAACUAAUGGUGGCUUUAUAUAGUCGUAUGUCUCGAGUUCCCAAGUUACUGGGGAACUGUCUCUACCCAACACCUCAUCCACUUAUACAUUACAUACACCAGAACCGGUUAGGGAUUUGUCAGGCAUUUGUGACUAAUCCAAGUCAUUUUGAGGUAUGGUAGAACGAAUAUAUUUUGUAUGGUACACUUUUUUGCCCUCUUUAUUACAGGCCUACUGCCUUGUCGGUUCCAGCACACCACAACCGACUGGUGUUAACUUAAUAAUGCCCAUACCAAAAUAAAUAAAUAUAUAUAUAUAUAUAUAUAUAUAUA
Non-coding RNA from Pelobates cultripes (western spadefoot toad), 2736 nucleotides. Lineage: Eukaryota; Metazoa; Chordata; Amphibia; Anura; Pelobatidae. The record is from the annotation of a GenBank genome assembly.